Molecule: ribosomal RNA, 328 nt
Filed under: uncultured eukaryote
Lineage: Eukaryota
Description: partial 18S ribosomal RNA
Rfam family: Eukaryotic small subunit ribosomal RNA
Source: RNAcentral
CCCUUAGAUGUCCUAGGCCGCACGCGCGUUACACUGAUGCAUUCAACGAGCUUAUAACCUUGGCCGAGAGGCCUGGGCAAUCUUGUUAACGUGCAUCGUGAUAGGGAUAGAUUAUUGAAAUUAUUAAUCUUGAACGAGGAAUCCCUAGUAAACGCAGAUCAUCAAUCUGCAUUGAUUACGUCCCUGCCCUUUGUACACACCGCCCGUCGCACCUACCGAUUGGAUGGUCCGGUGAAGCCUCGGGAUUGUGGUUCUUGCCGCUUUAUUGUGGCGUGACCGCGAGAACUUGUCUAAACCUUAUCAUCUAGAGGAAGGUGAAGUCGUAACA